UACCCUUGACAUGUAUGGAACCCUGCUGAAAGGUGGGGGUGCCCGAAAGGGAGCCAUAACACAGGUGCUGCAUGGCUGUCGUCAGCUCGUGUCGUGAGAUGUUGGGUUAAGUCCCGCAACGAGCGCAACCCUUGUCCCUAGUUGCUACGCAAGAGCACUCUAGGGAGACUGCCGGUGACAAACCGGAGGAAGGUGGGGAUGACGUCAAGUCCUCAUGGCCCUUAUGGGUAGGGCUUCACACGUCAUACAAUGGUCGGAACAGAGGGUCGCCAACCCGCGAGGGGGAGCCAAUCCCAGAAAACCGAUCGUAGUCCGGAUCGCACUCUGCAACUCGAGUGCGUGAAGCUGGAAUCGCUAGUAAUCGCGGAUCAGCAUGCCGCGGUGAAUACGUUCCC
This 395-nucleotide ribosomal RNA is filed under the name uncultured Burkholderia sp. RNAcentral describes it as "bacterial SSU rRNA". It matches the Rfam family "Bacterial small subunit ribosomal RNA", at positions 976 to 1375 of the family's 1533-position model. Lineage: Bacteria; Pseudomonadati; Pseudomonadota; Betaproteobacteria; Burkholderiales; Burkholderiaceae. The record is from RNAcentral.